RNAcentral lists this small nucleolar RNA (101 nucleotides) under Pseudonaja textilis. Its description in RNAcentral is "Small nucleolar RNA SNORD46 (ENSPTXG00000001656.1)". It matches the Rfam family "Small nucleolar RNA SNORD46". From Rfam's summary of the family: U40 is a C/D box small nucleolar RNA, also known as snoZ153 in plants. The human sequence has also been annotated in the sequence databases as U46. Lineage: Eukaryota; Metazoa; Chordata; Lepidosauria; Squamata; Elapidae. The record is from Rfam by way of RNAcentral.
AACUGGAGUGAUGAGAAGUACACCUUAGGUGAGCGUGUAGACUGUUCUGGUCUUCAUCACAGUCACCAAUGCUAGGAUCGUCAUAGUUACACUGACCAUGU